This 279-nucleotide ribosomal RNA is filed under the name uncultured bacterium. RNAcentral describes it as "partial 16S ribosomal RNA". It matches the Rfam family "Bacterial small subunit ribosomal RNA", at positions 506 to 784 of the family's 1533-position model. The record is from RNAcentral.
UGCCAGCCGCCGCGGUAAUACGGAGGGUGCAAGCGUUGUUCGGAAUUAUUGGGCGUAAAGCGCGUGUAGGCGGUUCGUUAAGUCUGAUGUGAAAGCCCGGGGCUCAACCCCGGAAGUGCAUUGGAAACUGGCGAACUUGAGUACGGGAGAGGAAAGUGGAAUUCCGAGUGUAGGGGUGAAAUCCGUAGAUAUUCGGAGGAACACCAGUGGCGAAAGCGGCCUUCUGGGUCGGUCCUGACGCUAAGACGCGAAAGCUAGGGUAGCAAACGGGAUUAGAUA